RNAcentral lists this ribosomal RNA (932 nucleotides) under Halolamina sp. RNAcentral describes it as "bacterial SSU rRNA". It matches the Rfam family "Archaeal small subunit ribosomal RNA", at positions 52 to 980 of the family's 1478-position model. Lineage: Archaea; Methanobacteriati; Methanobacteriota; Halobacteria; Halobacteriales; Haloferacaceae. The record is from RNAcentral.
UGCUAGUUGUGCGAGUUCAUACUCGCAGCGUAUAGCUCAGUAACACGUGGCCAAACUACCCUACAGACAAGAACAACCUCGGGAAACUGAGGCUAACACUUGAUACGCGUUGACUGUUUGAAGACAUCGACGUUCAAACGCUCCGGCGCUGUAGGAUGUGGCUGCGGCCGAUUAGGUAGACGGUGGGGUAACGGCCCACCGUGCCGAUAAUCGGUACGGGUUGUGAGAGCAAGAGCCCGGAGACGGAAUCUGAGACAAGAUUCCGGGCCCUACGGGGCGCAGCAGGCGCGAAACCUUUACACUGCACGCCAGUGCGAUAAGGGAACCCCGAGUGAAAGGGCAUAUCGCCCUUUCUUUUCUGAACCGUAGGGAGGUUCAGGAACAAGAGCUGGGCAAGACCGGUGCCAGCCGCCGCGGUAAUACCGGCAGCUCAAGUGAUGACCGAUUUUAUUGGGCCUAAAGCGUCCGUAGCUGGCCGCGCAAGUCUGUCGGGAAAUCCACCCGCUUAACGGGUGGGCGUCCGGCGGAAACUGUGCGGCUUGGGACAGGAAGGCUCGAGGGGUACGUUCGGGGUAGGAGUGAAAUCCCGUAAUCCUGAACGGACCACCGAUGGCGAAAGCACCUCGAGAGGACUGAUCCGACAGUGAGGGACGAAAGCUGGGGUCUCGAACCGGAUUAGAUACCCGGGUAGUCCCAGCCGUAAACGAUGUUCGCUAGGUGUGACACUCACUACGAGUUGAGUGUUGUGCCGCAGGGAAGCCGCUAAGCGAACCGCCUGGGAAGUACGUCCGCAAGGAUGAAACUUAAAGGAAUUGGCGGGGGAGCACUACAACCGGAGGAGCCUGGCGGUUUAAUUGGACUCAACGCCGGUAACCUUACCAGCCCCGACUACCGUGAUGACCGUUCAGGUUGAUGACCUCACCACGACGCUU